RNAcentral lists this transfer RNA (74 nucleotides) under Streptomyces sp. ICC1. It matches the Rfam family "tRNA". Rfam says of the family: Transfer RNA (tRNA) molecules are approximately 80 nucleotides in length. Their secondary structure includes four short double-helical elements and three loops (D, anti-codon, and T loops). Lineage: Bacteria; Bacillati; Actinomycetota; Actinomycetes; Kitasatosporales; Streptomycetaceae. The record is from Rfam by way of RNAcentral. RNAcentral also lists the same sequence under 1 other name.
GCCCCCGUAACUCAGAUGGCCGGAGCGCCGCUCUCCAAAACCAGAUGUCGCAGGUUCGAAGCCUGCCGGGGGCU